AAAAAGCUCGUAGUUGAAUUUCUGGUCUCGGACAUCGGUCUGCCUCGAACGAGGUACGUACCAGUUUCUGAAUCCAUCCUCGGGGAAAACAUAUCUGUCAUUCAGUUGAUGGGUAUGGGAUCCUCGUCAUUUACUGUGAGCAAAAUAGAGUGUUCAAAGCAGGCUUAUGCCGUUGAAUACAUUAGCAUGGAAUAAUAAGAUAAGACCUUGGUCUAAUUUUGUUGGUUUGUACUCCAAGGUAAUGAUUAAUAGGGAUAGUUGGGGGUAUUCGUAUUCAAUUGUCAGAGGUGAAAUUCUUGGAUUUAUGGAAGACGAACUACUGCGAAAGCAUUUACCAAGGAUGUUUUCAUUAAUCAAGAACGAAAGUUAG
Molecule: ribosomal RNA, 370 nt
Filed under: Cerataulina pelagica
Lineage: Eukaryota; Bacillariophyta; Thalassiosirophyceae; Eucampiales; Eucampiaceae
Description: SSU rRNA
Rfam family: Eukaryotic small subunit ribosomal RNA
Source: RNAcentral